RNAcentral lists this ribosomal RNA (919 nucleotides) under Betta spilotogena. RNAcentral's name for it is "partial 16S ribosomal RNA". The stretch from base 158 to 658 matches the Rfam family "Bacterial large subunit ribosomal RNA", at positions 573 to 1301 of the family's 2925-position model. The record is from RNAcentral. Lineage: Eukaryota; Metazoa; Chordata; Actinopteri; Anabantiformes; Osphronemidae.
UUAUUAAUACCCCCAAAAACAUUUAAUAUCUAAUUAAACAAACCAUUUUCCCCCCUAAGUAUGGGCGACAGAAAAGAAACAUUCAGAGCCAUAGAAAAAGUACCGCAAGGGAAUGCUGAAAAAGAAGUGAAACAACCCAGUAAAGUUUAAAAAAGCAGAGACUUACACUCGUACCUUUUGCAUCAUGAUUUAGCCAGUAAAAACAAGCAAAGGGUACUUUAGUUUGUCUCCCCGAAACUAAGUGAGCUACUCCAAGACAGCCUAAAAUAGGGCUAACCCGUCUCUGUGGCAAAAGAGUGGGGUGAGCUUAGAGUAGAGGUGAUAAACCUACCGAACUUAGUUAUAGCUGGUUGCCUGAGAAAUGAAUAGAAGUUCAGCUUUUUGGUUUCUCCCCUCAACUCGCUUAACUACAACCGAACCAAAGAAACCAAAAAAGUUAGUUAAAGGGGGUACAGCUCCUUUAAACAAGAUACAACUUCACCAGCCGGGUAAAGAUCACAUAUAAUCAAGGUAAAAUGUCCUAGUGGGCCUAAAAGCAGCCACCUAUAAAAAGCGUCAAAGCUUCUUCAUACCACCACCCUCAAAUUCAGAUAAUACACCCUAAACCCACUAAUUUUACCAAGCCGCCCCAUGCUGUCAUGGGGGUGAUUAUGCUAAAAUGAGUAAUAAGAAAAGUCACCUUUUCUCCUUGCAUUCGUGUAAAUCGAAACGGACCUCCCAUCGAACAUUAAUCGGCCCCAAAAAAAGAGGGCAAUGAACUAUCAAACCCUAUACAAGAAAAGCACCCAAAUAUCAACCGUUAACCUCACACUAACAUGCUUACAAGGAAAGACUAAAAGAAAAAGAAGGAACUCGGCAAAUACAAGCCUCGCCUGUUUACCAAAAACAUCGCCUCUUGAAAACUAAACAUAAGAGGUCC